CGGACGGGUGAGUAAUGUCUGGGGAAACUGCCUGAUGAGGGGGAUAACUACUGGAAACGGUAGCUAAUACCGCAUAACGUCGCAAGACCAAAAGAGGGGGACCUUCGGGCCUCUUGCCAUCGGAUGUGCCCAGAUGGGAUUAGCUAGUAGGUGGGGUAACGGCUCACCUAGGCGACGAUCCCUAGCUGGUCUGAGAGGAUGACCAGCCACACUGGAACUGAGACACGGUCCAG
RNAcentral lists this ribosomal RNA (233 nucleotides) under uncultured bacterium. RNAcentral's name for it is "partial 16S ribosomal RNA". It matches the Rfam family "Bacterial small subunit ribosomal RNA", at positions 99 to 334 of the family's 1533-position model. The record is from RNAcentral.